This 632-nucleotide small RNA is filed under the name Pan troglodytes (chimpanzee). RNAcentral's name for it is "retained intron". The record is from RNAcentral. Lineage: Eukaryota; Metazoa; Chordata; Mammalia; Primates; Hominidae.
GACCUCAUACAAGAUGGCGGCACCCGAGGAACACGAUUCUCCGACCGAAACGUCCCAGCCGAUUGUGGAAAAGGAGGAAACUAAAACAUUUAAAGACCUGGGUGUGACAGAUGUGUUGUGUGAAGCUUGUGACCAGUUGGGAUGGACAAAACCCACCAAGAUCCAGAUUGAAGCUAUUCCUUUGGCCUUACAAGGUAGGUUGUAUGACUUCGUACAGAUUUAAUAUAAAGUUAUCUCAAUUAGGUACUUACCCCUUUUGAAAGCUAUUGCUUGCAUACUUCAAGUGAAAUAAGGAUAUGGUCACUAAAGGUACAAAGUUUGGGUAAUGGUAUUUGAAAAUGUCAUUCUCCACUUUUACUGAGCUUACUUUCUGUCUUAAUAGCUGAAAGGGUUUGUUCUCUGCCACAGGUGCUGACUUUAAGGAAGCCCUAGGUUAAAGUUAAAGUAUAUUAACGACAAUCUUGGUAGACUUUAUGCGUCAAUGGGCGCACACUUAGGGAAGGAUGCCUGGAACACAUAUGUGUGUCUUGAGGAGUUGAGAAUUCUUGCUGUGAGCCAUGUUUAUCAGAUUUGUAAAAGAGUGGUUAAAGCAGAUUGAUGGCUACUGGAACUGAAACUAAUGGGAUGAACUU